Manihot esculenta (cassava) is the source of this 3040-nucleotide RNA transcript. It is a transcript of the gene named protein HEADING DATE REPRESSOR 1, with no coding region annotated. The transcript is spliced from 4 exons. NCBI's taxonomy places the organism in Eukaryota, Viridiplantae, Streptophyta, Magnoliopsida, Malpighiales, Euphorbiaceae. The record is from RefSeq and is a predicted model, not a curated record.
AUUAAUAAAAAGAAAAACAGCACAAUCGUAGCAAAGGAUGAAGCAAGCGGCUGACCAUCAAGAAGACGAAGCAUGAAAAUUCUGCAAACUUUUAUUAAAAAAAACAAUACAAACUCCAAGAAAGUUCGUGUGUUCAGAAAAAGCUCUUUAUGAUCUGGGGAAUAUGCUUUCUACCAUUUCUGAUUUUAUAUGGUUUGUUUUUAUCACAGUUGUCUUGAUUGUUAAAUUUUUAAUUUUAAUAAAAAAUUAUUUUAUAUCAUUUCAAGCUGACAUUUUAAUUAAAAAAAUGAAAAAUGAAGCGAGGUCUACAAAGAAAAGUCAGCCUGAAUGGCACCAGGACAAGAUUAGCUUAAAAUCUUCCACUCAGAAGCCUUCAUCCCUCUGUGACUGUGACCCCAUCAGCCAUCUUCUUCUUCUUUCUUUCUUUCUUUCUUUCCUUUUGUAGGUGAAGACCAAAAACCAAAGUACAAGCAAGGAUUUUCUAGGAAAAGUUGUAAUAAACACUAUCUUCCUCCUCAAGAAAGUCAUCCAAACAGAAAGAUCUCGAUAUAUAUGUUCGAUGCUUGAUAGGCUAUUCUCCAAUGGAAAAAAAGAAAGAGUACAGUAAUAAAGAUGGCUUCUUUCCAGUCUCUUCUCCUAGGGUCUCUUGGAAACCUCCAAGGACAUCAGCUAGCGGGAGGAGUUUAUGCAGUGUAACUGCUAAUGAAACUCCCAGCAAAAUGGAAGAAUCUUCCAAUGAUGAAAAGAUGCAGGAGCCAGAUACACUUCCUGUGCUUUCUGAGAAGCGAAAGGCUCUCUUUGAACCAUUGGAACCAGUAACCAAUAUCAAUGGCAAACGACCAUCAGCCGAGUCCCUUCUUCCUCCACCAGAUUUUGACUCAGCAAGCUAUCCCAAAGGUUGGCUAAUUGGAAAGAAGCGAAAGCUUGUUAACAUAGAUGUCGUCGAGAGCAUGAGGAGGAUUGCCAUUCAGGAAAUGAACAGAAAGGACCGGGAAAUUAAUGGCCUAAAUGAGCAGUUGGAAGAGGAUGCAAGGUGUCUAGAACACCUGCAACUCCAGCUUCUGCAAGAACGAAGUAAACGUGCCAAUGUUGAGAGAGAGAACGCAAUGCUGCAAGACCAAAUAUCCAUGCUGAUGAACAUGCUAGAGGAAAAUGAACAAAUGGGUGAUGAAGGCCCUGAUGAACCUUAAAUGGCAGCUUCAUCUUCUGCUUUAUUCUUUUGCAAGUUUGUUUGAAGGGUUAGAAGGAAUCUUCAAUGAAAUGAUUUCAAUCUCCAAAUAUCAGAAAAGUUGAUGAAAAUUAGUCUUGCAAUUCAGAGACAGUGAUUGAAGAGUUAAGAUUACAGAAGUCUGUAGAGACAAAAGCACUACUAUUCAUCUGCUAUAAACAAUAAACAUGUCUUGAUCCUUCAUCAACCUGGAGCUUCUACAAUUCACAGAAACUAGACUUUUGAAGACAGCAGAAUCCAUCAUGUUUUUUCAUUUCUUGAUCUGAAUCUCCCUACGUGUUAUAAAAAAGUUUUGGGAGAGAAUCGAUCCUUGGGAGAUCAAGCAGCAGCUCCCCAAAUGAAUCCUUGCUUGAUGUAGUUGGUGCCUGCUCGCAGCUGGAAAUACUAUCGGACAGAUCUUUGGGCACCGGAAAACUUUCCACGAAUUUAUCCAGGCAGGCUGCUCUGCUGAUGGAUUUAUUUUCACCUAUGCUUCCAUCAUCAUCUACUUCAAGAUCAAUGAAACUCUUAGUCUGCAAAUUUCCUGCUGACGCAAGAUCUCUCUCUAAUAGGCAGCAAAGAGAAUCAACCCUUGGCAUGAGGUGCUGCUCAUCUGAUGCUGAUACAAGUUGAGAGUCACUAAGCAAGAACUCAGUGAUCUCCUCUAGAAUGUCACUGUUCUUUGCAUUGUCAUGUGAAAUUCUAGGAUUGCAAGGUGUCAUCUGUUCUGAAAUGCACUGUUCAAGGUGGUUCUCUGGGCCGCUCGUCGACAUGAAUGGCUGGAAUCCAGGCACCUUAAUUUGAUCCCAAUAGCUAGGUAACCUCUCUGUUUUCAAACUAAUGGUUGCUUCAGUUGCUUCAGUUGCAUCAGUAUUCAUCACUACAAAUGAUAAACAAGAUAUACCAGCAAGGAGAUUACGUUCCAUACAAAAAUAACAAACAUCAACUUCAAAUAUAAAUGGCGAAGCUACUCAAUCUCCCAUCCUGACAAAUGAUUCUUUGACUUGAAUCAUUUGUAAACAGGUGAAGCAUUGGGGCAAAGAUUCAGUAAUGAGGUCACUAUUCAUUCAAAUUACUAAUGGACACAUCCGCAGCUGCCAGCAGUUGCAAACUUGCUAUCUAUCGUUAACGUGCAAACAAUGGAUAUACUUCUAAAUUCAAAUCCAACCAUAUAAGUACAGAAAAUUCAUGCAGAGUAUAUGCACAUCAAUGAUUAGAGAUGCAGCAUUGAUCUCAAGUCUAAUAACACGACGAGAAAAGAGCCUUUCUGUGAAGGAAAGCUGGUCGCUAAAAGUUAGAUUCCUGUUGCAAAAAACAAUUAGCGACUAUAAUUAUCCCUCGCAUGCUAUUGCAGCAGGCUCCGUCGUUAGAAAGUUAAAAGGACGGGAAGGAAUUGCCCAUCGCAAAUACAAAUUUAGGAAGGUACUUAAUGUUGGUCGUAAAAAAAAAAUGUGACAAAACUACCUUCGCAAUUAAAAAUUGUUCACCAUUUUCAACCACGUUUUCAGUUUCAGGGUCAUAUUUUACCUGUUAUAGGUGAAGGAUUUUCCUGAGAAGUACUUUCAGAAGUGCUGACAUUGAAAACUUGGUUCUCAUCAUUCAUGGAAGAAGAAUGGAAUCUAUAUGGUGAUGCAGCUUGCCCUAAAGCAAAGAGAGCAGGUCUCUUCUUAACCUUCAAAUCAAACGCCUUAGAGGAUUCAUUCAACUCACUAAAUGGAGGAAUGCUUUGCUCAAAAUAAGGACUUUCCAACAAAAUUUCAGAUUGUUGGCUGAGAAAGUUGAGAUGAGGAUCAAACUGAAUAAUUUUUUCAAAAUGCUUCCCUAAGAACCCCC